Molecule: ribosomal RNA, 270 nt
Filed under: uncultured archaeon
Lineage: Archaea
Description: partial 16S ribosomal RNA
Rfam family: Archaeal small subunit ribosomal RNA
Source: RNAcentral
CUGCAGCUCAAGUGGUGACCGCUAUUAUUGGGCCUAAAACGUUCGUAGCCGGUUUGAUAAAUGCCUGGGUAAAUCGUGUAGCUUAACUAUACGAAUUCCGGGUAGACUGUCAAACUUGAGACCGGGAGAAGCUAGAGGUACUCCUGGGGUAGAGGUGAAAUUCUGUAAUCCUAGGGGGACCACCAGUGGCGAAGGCGUCUAGCUAGAACGGGUCUGACGGUGAGGAACGAAGCCCUGGGGCGCGAACCGGAUUAGAUACCCGAGUAGUCC